CAUCAUCAGCUGCCCCAUUGUAUUUUCCUGAGUCUUAUUGCUGUUCUGAAAUCUCUCUCCUUUCAAAGGUGAUUUUAGUUUUGGGAAAAGGCAGAAGUUGCAGGGUGCCAAAUGUGGCCUGUAGGGGUGCUGAGACACCUGACUGAUUGAUAUUUGGCCUAAAAACUGCACAAGAUGUGA
Phyllostomus discolor (pale spear-nosed bat) is the source of this 180-nucleotide long non-coding RNA. RefSeq lists it as uncharacterized. The record is from RefSeq and is a predicted model, not a curated record. NCBI's taxonomy places the organism in Eukaryota, Metazoa, Chordata, Mammalia, Chiroptera, Phyllostomidae. The transcript is spliced from 3 exons.